RNAcentral lists this ribosomal RNA (208 nucleotides) under uncultured Comamonas sp. RNAcentral describes it as "partial 16S ribosomal RNA". It matches the Rfam family "Bacterial small subunit ribosomal RNA", at positions 569 to 776 of the family's 1533-position model. The record is from RNAcentral. Lineage: Bacteria; Pseudomonadati; Pseudomonadota; Betaproteobacteria; Burkholderiales; Comamonadaceae.
GCGCAGGCGUUUUUGUAAGACAGUGGUGAAAUCCCCGGGCUCUCCCUGGGAAUGGCGCCUGUGAUUGCAAAGGUGGAGUGCGCCAGAGGGGGAUGGAAUUUCGAGUGUAGCAGGGAAAAGUGUAGAUAUGUGGAGGAACACCGAGGGCGAGGGCGCUCCCGUGUGCCUACACAGACGCUCAGGCGCAAAAAAGUGGGGGGCAAACGGG